UAUUUUAAGAGUUUGAUCCUGGCUCAGGAUGAACGCUGGCGGCGUGCCUAACACAUGCAAGUCGAGCGGAGUUA
This 74-nucleotide ribosomal RNA is filed under the name Alkaliphilus flagellatus. RNAcentral's name for it is "partial 16S ribosomal RNA". It matches the Rfam family "Bacterial small subunit ribosomal RNA", at positions 1 to 74 of the family's 1533-position model. Lineage: Bacteria; Bacillati; Bacillota; Clostridia; Peptostreptococcales; Natronincolaceae. The record is from RNAcentral.